Molecule: ribosomal RNA, 484 nt
Filed under: uncultured bacterium
Lineage: Bacteria
Description: partial 16S ribosomal RNA
Rfam family: Bacterial small subunit ribosomal RNA
Source: RNAcentral
AUUGAACGCUGGCGGCAGGCCUAACACAUGCAAGUCGCGCGGAUGAAGGGAGCUUGCUCCUGGAUUCAGCGGCGGACGGGUGAGUAAUGCCUAGGAAUCUGCCUGGUAGUGGGGGAUAACGUCCGGAAACGGGCGCUCAUACCGCAUACGUCCUGAGGGAGAAAGUGGGGGAUCUUCGGACCUCACGCUAUCAGAUGAGCCUAGGUCGGAUUAGCUAGUUGGUGGGGUAAAGGCCUACCAAGGCGACGAUCCGUAACUGGUCUGAGAGGAUGAUCAGUCACACUGGAACGGAGACACGGUCCAGACUCCUACGGGAGGCAGCAGUGGGGAAUAUUGGACAAUGGGCGAAAGCCUGAUCCAGCCAUGCCGCGUGUGUGAAGAAGGUCUUCGGAUUGUAAAGCACUUUAAGUGGGGAGGAAGGGCAGUAAGUUAAUACCGUGCUGUUUUGACGUUACCAACAGAAUAAGCACCGGCUAACUUCGUG